UGGGGAAUUUUGAACAAUGGGGGCAACCCUGAUCCAGCCAUGCCGCGUGAGUGAAGAAGGCCUUCGGGUUGUAAAGCUCUUUCGGCCGGGAAGAAAUCGCAUGGGUUAAUACCCUGUGUGGAUGACGGUACCGGAAUAAGAAGCACCGGCUAACUACGUGCCAGCAGCCGCGGUAAUACGUAGGGUGCGAGCGUUAAUCGGAAUUACUGGGCGUAAAGCGUGCGCAGGCGGUUUAGUAAGACAGGCGUGAAAUCCCCGGGCUCAACCUGGGAACUGCGCUUGUGACUGCUAAGCUAGAGUACGGCAGAGGGGGGUGGAAUUCCACGUGUAGCAGUGAAAUGCGUAGAGAUGUGGAGGAACACCGAUGGCGAAGGCAGCCCCCUGGGCCGAUACUGACGCUCAUGCACGAAAGCGUGGGUAGCAAACA
RNAcentral lists this ribosomal RNA (427 nucleotides) under uncultured bacterium. Its description in RNAcentral is "bacterial SSU rRNA". It matches the Rfam family "Bacterial small subunit ribosomal RNA", at positions 355 to 774 of the family's 1533-position model. The record is from RNAcentral.